CCUACGGGAGGCAGCAGUGAGGAAUAUUGGUCAAUGGGCGAGAGCCUGAACCAGCCAAGUCGCGUGAAGGAUGACGGCCCUACGGGUUGUAAACUUCUUUUGUCAGGGCGCAAUUGGGUCCACGCGUGGGCUUAGCGAGAGUACCUGAAGAAAAAGCAUCGGCUCACUCCGUGCCAGCAGCCGCGGUAAUACGGAGGAUGCGAGCGUUAUCCGGAUUUAUUGGGUUUAAAGGGAGCGUAGACGGCAGUGCAAGUCUGGAGUGAAAGGCGGGGGCUCAACCCCCGGACUGCUCUGGAAACUGUACGGCUGGAGUGCAGGAGAGGUAAGUGGAAUUCCUAGUGUAGCGGUGAAAUGCGUAGAUAUUAGGAGGAACACCAGUGGCGAAGGCGGCUUACUGGACUGUAACUGACGUUGAGGCUCGAAAGCGUGGGGAGCAAACAGGAUUAGAUACCCGAGUAGUC
This 461-nucleotide ribosomal RNA is filed under the name uncultured bacterium. RNAcentral describes it as "partial 16S ribosomal RNA". It matches the Rfam family "Bacterial small subunit ribosomal RNA", at positions 338 to 795 of the family's 1533-position model. The record is from RNAcentral.